RNAcentral lists this ribosomal RNA (429 nucleotides) under Verrucomicrobiota bacterium. Its description in RNAcentral is "Verrucomicrobia bacterium partial 16S ribosomal RNA". It matches the Rfam family "Bacterial small subunit ribosomal RNA", at positions 355 to 776 of the family's 1533-position model. The record is from RNAcentral. Lineage: Bacteria; Pseudomonadati; Verrucomicrobiota.
UAGGGAAUCUUCGGCAAUGGGGGGAACCCUGACCGAGCAACGCCGCGUGAGUGAAGAAGGUUUUCGGAUCGUAAAGCUCUGUUGUUAAGGAAGAACGAGUGUGAGAAUGGAAAGUUCAUGCUGUGACGGUACUUAACCAGAAAGGGACGGCUAACUACGUGCCAGCAGCCGCGGUAAUACGUAAGGUCCGAGCGUUGUCCGGAAUCAUUGGGCGUAAAGGGUACGUAGGCGGAUAAGCAAGUUAGAAGUGAAAUCCUAUAGCUCAACUAUAGUAAGCUUUUAAAACUGCUCAUCUUGAGGUAUGGAAGGGAAAGUGGAAUUCCUAGUGUAGCGGUGAAAUGCGCAGAUAUUAGGAGGAAUACCGGUGGCGAAGGCGACUUCCUGGCCAUAAACUGACGCUGAGGUACGAAAGCGUGGGUAGCAAACAGG